This 460-nucleotide ribosomal RNA is filed under the name uncultured bacterium. RNAcentral describes it as "partial 16S ribosomal RNA". It matches the Rfam family "Bacterial small subunit ribosomal RNA", at positions 338 to 795 of the family's 1533-position model. The record is from RNAcentral.
CCUACGGGUGGCAGCAGUGAGGAAUAUUGGUCAAUGGGCGUAAGCCUGAACCAGCCAAGUCGCGUGAGGGAUGAAGGUUCUAUGGAUCGUAAACCUCUUUUAUAAGGGCAUAAAGUGUGGGACGUGUCCUAUUUUGUAUGUACCUUAUGAAUAAGGAUCGGCUCACUCCGUGCCAGCAGCCGCGGUAAUACGGAGUAUCCGAGCGUUAUCCGGAUUUAUUGGGUUUAAAGGGUGCGUAGGCGGCCUUUUAAGUCAGCAGUGAAAGUAUGUGGAUCAACCAUAGAAUUGCCGUUGAAACUGGGGGGCUGGAGUAUGUUGGAGGCAGGCGGAAUGCGUGGUGUAGCGGUGAAAUGCUUAGAUAUCACGCAGAACCCCGAUUGCGAAGGCAGCCUGCCAAGCCAUGACUGACGCUGAUGCACGAAAGCGUGGGGAUCAAACAGGAUUAGAUACCCCGGUAGUC